RNAcentral lists this long non-coding RNA (775 nucleotides) under Nilaparvata lugens (brown planthopper). RNAcentral's name for it is "uncharacterized LOC111053604, transcript variant X2". Lineage: Eukaryota; Metazoa; Arthropoda; Insecta; Hemiptera; Delphacidae. The record is from RNAcentral.
AUAAUAAUAAUAAUUAUGGUAAGUGUAACGUACAUUUGCAUUUUGCAACAGAAACAGCUUCUUAUAGAGUAUUGUUUUACAGGCUAAUCUUUUUUUAUGUAAUGUAUUCAAAUGUAAUUAUAAUUAGGAUUGGGAUAAUACAAAAAUAUACUUUUUGCUUAGUGAUAUCUAUUACAUUGUGACAGAAUUUGGUUUCUCAAUAAUUCUCAUCCUGAGUGCCAAACUGAUCAACUGCAUCCUAAUGGAACGUUCAAGAUGUGAUUCAGUAACUGAUACGGUUGUUGCAAUAAUUAUUUUUGACCAAAUUGAAUCCACAAAAUAAUUGAAGAAAUGGUUUCAGAUGAUUACGAACAAGUGCAGCUAUCUUUGGAGAGGUAAUGCACCUACUGAUAUCCCGUGAUAAGAACUUGGGAGAGAUUUAGUGAAAACCUGGAGAACGGCCACUUAGCUCACAAAUCUGAGCUGUUCACAUCAAGCUGAUAUUUGUGACAGCCAUUAUAGCUUUAAUCAUUUUCUCGAUUGAUCAAAGCACCACAGACUGCAUCGUUCGUCACCUCUGCCUUUAAGCGCGUUAUCACCUACUCCAAUAAGCCACCCCAAUAUCCUUAAUAAGCAAUAGAAGUUCUUAUCGACUGUGUAUGACUCAUUAAUAUCCAUGUUCUGUAUAAAUUUAUGUGAUAGGCCUACUGGUAUUAAUGUUGAUGUACCGUAAUGUUUUUUGCUCAUGUAUAAUUGAUAAUAAUACAUUAAAAAUAAAUAUAAUGUUAAAUUAUUA